UCCGGAGUUUCUCCGGCAGUCCCCCAUGAGUGCUCGGCACUACCCGGUGGCAACAUAAGGCGGGGGUUGCGCUCGUUGCGGGACUUAACCCAACAUCUCACGACACGAGCUGACGACAGCCAUGCACCACCUGUACACCGACCACAAGGGGGCGCCUGUCUCCAGACGUUUCCGGUGUAUGUCAAGCCUUGGUAAGGUUCUUCGCGUUGCGUCGAAUUAAGCCACAUGCUCCGCUG
Molecule: unclassified non-coding RNA, 236 nt
Filed under: uncultured Actinomycetes bacterium
Lineage: Bacteria; Bacillati; Actinomycetota; Actinomycetes
Description: uncultured actinobacterium contains 16S-23S intergenic spacer region
Source: RNAcentral